RNAcentral lists this small nuclear RNA (145 nucleotides) under Salvator merianae (Argentine black and white tegu). RNAcentral describes it as "U1 spliceosomal RNA (ENSSMRG00000007631.1)". It matches the Rfam family "U1 spliceosomal RNA", at positions 1 to 147 of the family's 166-position model. Rfam says of the family: U1 is a small nuclear RNA (snRNA) component of the spliceosome (involved in pre-mRNA splicing). Its 5' end forms complementary base pairs with the 5' splice junction, thus defining the 5' donor site of an intron. There are significant differences in sequence and secondary structure between metazoan and yeast U1 snRNAs, the latter being much longer (568 nucleotides as compared to 164 nucleotides in human). The record is from RNAcentral. Lineage: Eukaryota; Metazoa; Chordata; Lepidosauria; Squamata; Teiidae.
AUAUUUACCUGGCAGGGGAGACAUUAUGAUCAUGAAGUUGGCUUUCCCAGGAUGAGGCUCAUUCAUUGCAUUUCAGGGAUGCUGAGCCCUGUGAUUUCCCCAAAUGCAGGAAACUCGACUGCAUAAUUUGUGGUAGUGGGACUAA